GACGAACGCUGGCGGCGUGCCUAACACAUGCAAGUCGAACGGAAGUAAGAGCUUCGGUUUUGCUUUAGUGGCGAACGGGUGAGUAACGCGUGAGGAACCUGCCUUUCAGUGGGGGACAACAGUUGGAAACGACUGCUAAUACCGCAUAAUGUUUCCGGUCCGCAUGGACUGGAAACCAAAGCUUUAUGUGCUGAAGGGUGGGCUCGCGUCCGAUUAGCUAGUUGGCAGGGUGAUAGCCUACCAAGGCGACGAUCGGUAGCCGACCUGAGAGGGUGAUCGGCCACAUUGGAACUGAGAUACGGUCCAA
Molecule: ribosomal RNA, 307 nt
Filed under: uncultured bacterium
Lineage: Bacteria
Description: bacterial SSU rRNA
Rfam family: Bacterial small subunit ribosomal RNA
Source: RNAcentral